This 252-nucleotide ribosomal RNA is filed under the name uncultured bacterium. RNAcentral's name for it is "partial 16S ribosomal RNA". It matches the Rfam family "Bacterial small subunit ribosomal RNA", at positions 524 to 775 of the family's 1533-position model. The record is from RNAcentral.
GACGUAGGGCGCGAGCGUUGUCCGGAUUUAUUGGGCGUAAAGAGCUCGUAGGCGGCUCGUUGCGUCGGCUGUGAAAACCCGCAGCUCAACUGUGGGCUUGCAGCUGAUACGGGCGGGCUGGGAUUCGGUAGGGGAGACUGGAAUUCCUGGUGUAGCGGUGAAAUGCGUAGAUAUCGGGAGGAACACCGAGUGGCGAAGGCGACUACCUGGCCUGUCUUGACGCUGAGGCGCGAAAGCUAGGGGAGCAACGGG